Schistosoma mattheei is the source of this 46-nucleotide non-coding RNA. NCBI's taxonomy places the organism in Eukaryota, Metazoa, Platyhelminthes, Trematoda, Strigeidida, Schistosomatidae. The record is from Rfam.
GAACUGCUGAGGAGUCCCACAAUAGGACGAAACAGCUGUUCAGUGC